CCUUGCACACACCGCUCGUCGCUUCAUCGAAGUUGGUUCUUGGCGAGGUGGUGUCUAAUUGGCACUAUCGAACCUGGGGUCAGCAACGAGGGAG
Molecule: ribosomal RNA, 94 nt
Filed under: uncultured bacterium
Lineage: Bacteria
Description: partial 16S ribosomal RNA
Source: RNAcentral